This 253-nucleotide ribosomal RNA is filed under the name uncultured bacterium. RNAcentral's name for it is "partial 16S ribosomal RNA". It matches the Rfam family "Bacterial small subunit ribosomal RNA", at positions 524 to 776 of the family's 1533-position model. The record is from RNAcentral.
UACAGAGGGUGCGAGCGUUAGUCGGAAUUACUGGGCGUAAAGCGCGCGUAGGCGGCUUUGCAAGUCGGGUGUGAAAUCCCCAGGCUUAACCUGGGAACUGCACUCGAGACUGCAUUGCUAGAGUAUGGGAGAGGGAAGUGGAAUUUCCGGUGUAGCGGUGAAAUGCGUAGAUAUCGGAAGGAACAUCAGUGGCGAAAGCGACUUCCUGGACCAAUACUGACGCUCAUGUGCGAAAGCGUGGGGAGCAAACAGG